Molecule: long non-coding RNA, 104 nt
Organism: Haliotis rubra (blacklip abalone)
Lineage: Eukaryota; Metazoa; Mollusca; Gastropoda; Lepetellida; Haliotidae
Exons: 4
Source: RefSeq, a predicted model, not a curated record
AUUAACAUCGACAAUAAAGAACUUGUCUACCCAUAAAACGUGUUCCUCUUUAUCAUACCAGCUUCUAAACGCCACUAAAGGAAAUUGAAUCACAGUGAUUCAGA